GAUUAACGCUGGCGGCGUGCCUAACACAUGCAAGUCGAGCGGCAGCGAGUUUUACACUGAAUUCUGGAAUCUUCUAGUUGAAAGAGAAGAUUUAUUCAAGAAUUUUGUGUAAAAUGUCGGCGAGCGGCGGACGGCUGAGUAACGCGUGGGAACGUACCCCAAAGUGAGGGAUAACGCAUCGAAAGGUGUGCUAAUACCGCAUAUGGUCUUCGGAUUAAAGCCUUCGGGCGCUUUGGGAACGGCCUGCGUAAGAUUAGAUAGUUGGUGGGGUAAUGGCCUACCAAGUCGACGAUCUUUAACUGGUUUGAGAGGAUGAUCAGUCAGACUGGAACUGAGACACGGUCCAGACUCCUACGGGAGGCAGCAGUGAGGAAUCUUCCACAAUGGGCGAAAGCCUGAUGGAGCAACGCCGCGUGCAGGAUGAAGGCCUUCGGGUUGUAAACUGCUUUUAUAAGUGAGGAUUAUGACAGUAACUUAUGAAUAAGGAUCGGCUAACUACGUG
RNAcentral lists this ribosomal RNA (502 nucleotides) under uncultured bacterium. RNAcentral describes it as "partial 16S ribosomal RNA". It matches the Rfam family "Bacterial small subunit ribosomal RNA", at positions 28 to 507 of the family's 1533-position model. The record is from RNAcentral.